RNAcentral lists this ribosomal RNA (515 nucleotides) under uncultured bacterium. Its description in RNAcentral is "partial 16S ribosomal RNA". It matches the Rfam family "Bacterial small subunit ribosomal RNA", at positions 28 to 523 of the family's 1533-position model. The record is from RNAcentral.
GAUGAACGCUGGCGGCGUGCCUAAUACAUGCAAGUUGAGCGAAUGGAUUAAGAGCUUGCUCUUAUGAAGUUAGCGGCGGACGGGUGAGUAACACGUGGGUAACCUGCCCAUAAGACUGGGAUAACUCCGGGAAACCGGGGCUAAUACCGGAUAACAUUUUGAACCGCAUGGUUCGAAAUUGAAAGGCGGCUUCGGCUGUCACUUAUGGAUGGACCCGCGUCGCAUUAGCUAGUUGGUGAGGUAACGGCUCACCAAGGCAACGAUGCGUAGCCGACCGGAGAGGGUGAUCGGCCACACUGGGACUGAGCCACGGCCAAGACUCCGCCGGGAGGCAGCAGUAGUGAAUCUGCCGAAAUGGACGAAAGUCUGACGUAGCAACGCCGCGUGAGUGAUGAAGGCUUUCGGGUCGUAAAACUCUGUUGUUAGGGAAGAACAAGUGCUAGUUGAAUAAGCUGGCACCUUGACGGUACCUAACCAGAAUGCCACGGCUAACUACGUGCCAGCAGCCGCAGUAA